Acanthosepion pharaonis is the source of this 99-nucleotide non-coding RNA. Lineage: Eukaryota; Metazoa; Mollusca; Cephalopoda; Sepiida; Sepiidae. The record is from the annotation of a GenBank genome assembly.
AUUGAAAUACCAGUUCUAGUAUGAUCAUAGAAGUUAAGCAAUGUUGAGUCUGGUCAGUACCUAGAUGGGUGACGGCUUGGGAAUACCAGGUGCUGUAAG